This 716-nucleotide ribosomal RNA is filed under the name uncultured bacterium. RNAcentral's name for it is "bacterial SSU rRNA". It matches the Rfam family "Bacterial small subunit ribosomal RNA", at positions 99 to 787 of the family's 1533-position model. The record is from RNAcentral.
CAGACGGGUGAGUAAUGCAUAGGUAAUCUACCCUUGAGUGGGGGACAACUCGUCGAAAGAUGGGCUAAUCCCGCAUAAUAUUUCGAUUUAUAAUGGUUGAAAUCAAAGGGGGGGCUCCUUCGGGACCUCUCGCUUGAGGAUGAGCUUAUGUCCUAUUAGUUUGUUGGUAGGGUAAUAGCCUACCAAGACUAUGAUGGGUAGCCGAGCUGAGAGGCUGAUCGGCCACACUGGAACUGAUACACGGUCCAGACUCCUACGGGAGGCAGCAGUGGGGAAUUUUGCGCAAUGGGCGAAAGCCUGACGCAGCGACGCCGCGUGAGGGAUGAAGGUCCUCGUGAUCGUAAACCUCUGUCAGGAAGGAUUAAGUGUAUAGUAGUUAAUAACUGCUAUGCUUGACUUAACUUCCAGAGGAAGCCCCGGCUAACUACGUGCCAGCAGCCGCGGUAAUACGUAGGGGGCAAGCGUUACUCGGAUUUAUUGGGCGUAAAGCGAAUGUAGGCUGUUUUGCAAGUCAGUGGUGAAAUCCCUCAGCUUAACUGAGGAAGUGCCUUUGAAACUGCAUAACUAGAGGACAGGAGAGGAAAGUGGAAUUCCCCGGGUGUAGCGGUGGAAUGCGUAGAAAUCGGGGAGGAACNACCAGAGGCGAAAGCGGGCUUUCUGGACUGAUCCUGACGCUGAGAUUCGAAAGCUAGGGGAGCAAACAGGAUUAGAUACCC